GUCCAUUCCAAGUGCUCUUGACUAUGGCUACCUCGAUGAAACUAGAAGGAAAAGCCACGUGGAUACACGCCAGUCACUGUAAACAAGUCACUCCGACUGAUCCACUGACAUGAAGCUGUUCUUAUCCUUUACCAUUUUAUGCUCUGUUCGGAUAUGCUACUCUGACUUGAGACCAGAAAAUAAUAAUGCAUGGCAGGAAAAUAUAUGGUUGCAGAUAGCAAAGGCUUUUAAUUUAACCUCCUUUUGCCUCAACCCUCUCCUCAGUACUGAAAGCGCCAUAGAAUCUUGUCUUAUAGCUGUCCCUACCCCCAUCUCACUGUUGAGGAAGUACCUUGGUAGGAGUCCCAGGCUUAGCACUGUAUAAUUCCCGAGUAGUUAAUGCUGUAGCCUGUUCUCUUGCAAAAGGCUUAAAUGCCACUUCACAGGCCCCAGAAGAGCUACUUAUGGACAACCAGGCAAAUAAGAAGGCAAUCCUUGAGAAUAGAG
Non-coding RNA from Pelobates cultripes (western spadefoot toad), 486 nucleotides. NCBI's taxonomy places the organism in Eukaryota, Metazoa, Chordata, Amphibia, Anura, Pelobatidae. The record is from the annotation of a GenBank genome assembly.